CAGUGAAGCUCAAGAGAUGAGGAUCCAGUGGGCUAAUGUGAAGUCAAUGACCUAAAAAGCAGACAAAAAAGAUGGGGAAAAGAAUGUGAAGAAGAAAAAUGAAAGGUGAAGAGUGGAGAAGGCAUGCGAGGAUGACAAAGGAAGGCGAAGGAAGUCAGAAUUAGGAAGGUCUGCAGGUGGAAUAAGCAAUAGAUCUUACUGGUAUGAGGUAUCACCAGUUCCCCUCAAUCAGCAGUUCAUAAACUCCAACUCUUUUUGUUUUGCAACAUGGCAUUUUCUCAGGAUACAGUGUGUUCAUAGUUCAAAACUCACAAGUCUCAAAGGGACUGUAGUCAGGUGCUAUACAGAGAUGUGAAAACAGCAAAGUCAUGGGGCAUGAAGACAAAGUGGAAGGAAGAGAUUUUACUGAUUACGGGCAAACAGCGUAAUAGUCAGCUGCAGAUGUAGCUAGACUCCAUUACAGUGAGAUUUCUGGAGUGUGAUUCUGCUGCUCUGGAAGACUGCUGCUGCCUAAGACUCGAUCUGGAGGCCCUGAAAGGCUGUCU
This is a long non-coding RNA of Sphaerodactylus townsendi, 545 nucleotides long. RefSeq lists it as uncharacterized. The record is from RefSeq and is a predicted model, not a curated record. NCBI's taxonomy places the organism in Eukaryota, Metazoa, Chordata, Lepidosauria, Squamata, Sphaerodactylidae. The transcript has 3 exons.